UCUUUUCUCGCUUUGGCAACACAUAUUUAGAACAAUACAGAGAAGAUUAGCAUGGCUGCUAUUCAAGGAUGACAAGCAAAUUUGUAAAGUGUUCCCUUAAAAA
Small nuclear RNA from Pteronotus mesoamericanus, 103 nucleotides. The record is from RefSeq and is a predicted model, not a curated record. Lineage: Eukaryota; Metazoa; Chordata; Mammalia; Chiroptera; Mormoopidae.